GACAGCAGUCGCCGCGGUAAUACGAAGGGUGCAAGCGUUAAUCGGAAUUACUGGGCGUAAAGCGUGCGUAGGCGGUGAGUUAAGUCUGCUGUGAAAUCCCCGGGCUCAACCUGGGAAUGGCAGUGGAUACUGGCUCGCUAGGGUGUGUCAGAGGAUGGUGGAAUUCCCGGUGUAGCGGUGAAAUGCGUAGAGAUCGGGAGGAACAUCAGUGGCGAAGGCGGCCAUCUGGGACAACACUGACGCUGAGGCACGAAAGCGUGGGGAGCAAACAGGAUUAGAUACCCCCGUAGUCCCUGUCUCUUAUAA
RNAcentral lists this ribosomal RNA (306 nucleotides) under uncultured bacterium. RNAcentral's name for it is "partial 16S ribosomal RNA". It matches the Rfam family "Bacterial small subunit ribosomal RNA", at positions 507 to 809 of the family's 1533-position model. The record is from RNAcentral.